CCAAUAGCGUAUAUUAAAGUUGUUGCAGUUAAAAAGCUCGUAGUUGAAUUUCGGGAUCAGUACGCUGGUCAUGCCUUUGGUAUGCACUGGUGUCACUGGUUUCUCCCUUCUGAAGAUCCGUGAUGUCAUUAAUUUGGUGUCGCGGGGAAUCAGGACUGUUACUUUGAAAAAAUUAGAGUGUUUAAAGCAAGCUCACGCUUGAAUACAUUAGCAUGGAAUA
RNAcentral lists this ribosomal RNA (220 nucleotides) under uncultured Glomus. RNAcentral describes it as "partial small subunit ribosomal RNA". It matches the Rfam family "Eukaryotic small subunit ribosomal RNA", at positions 591 to 816 of the family's 1831-position model. The record is from RNAcentral. Lineage: Eukaryota; Fungi; Glomeromycota; Glomeromycetes; Glomerales; Glomeraceae.